UAUGUACUCCCUCCGUCCGAAAAUUCUUGUCAUCAAUAUAGAUAAAAAGGAUAUAUCUAGAACCAAUAUACAUCUAGAUACAUCCCCUUUUAUUUAUUUUGAUGAUAAGUAUUUCCGGACGGAGGGAGUAAAUA
Molecule: non-coding RNA, 134 nt
Organism: Triticum aestivum (bread wheat)
Lineage: Eukaryota; Viridiplantae; Streptophyta; Magnoliopsida; Poales; Poaceae
Source: Rfam